RNAcentral lists this long non-coding RNA (713 nucleotides) under Salmo salar (Atlantic salmon). RNAcentral's name for it is "lncRNA (ENSSSAG00000116066.1)". The record is from RNAcentral. Lineage: Eukaryota; Metazoa; Chordata; Actinopteri; Salmoniformes; Salmonidae.
UAGCAGAUCAGCUCACAGAGCAACAGAUGUGGCCCACACCCAUUCAAGGGAGAGAGAAAAAAAAAACACAUUGCGCAUGGGUCUCCAACUUAACACUACUGUCAACUUAACAGCAAAACAGUUGCACAAAAUCCUCAAGGAAAGGGAGUUAAAGGAAAACUUAUUGCUUGACUUGGAAUUGUAUUGACUGACAUCAUCAUGAAGGCAUCAACCACAGCGGGUCCGGCGUUACCAAUGACAUCGCCAGAAACAUUCGAACAAGGAAUCAUUGAGGUUGUCACCCGUCUGGUCACACAGAAUUUCACAGAACACUUCACACAACCCUUCAGAGCUGGAGUUCUGACAACAACUUCUGCAGAUAUGACUGAAACAACCUCAGCCGCUUUUUUAGUGGGAGCCGCCAACGUAGAUGAUGGAUCCUUUGAAGCCAUUAUUUUCGGAGGAGGAAUUUUUGCGCUGCUCCUGGCGCUGCUCCUGGCGUUGCUGGUACUGCGCUACAUUGUCAAGCAUAAGGGCACUUACCACACCAAUGAGGCCGAGUGUGGUGAUUCUGUCGACAAGUAUGUGGAAGAGUUGAGCUCUCCAACCUCAUCCAUCUGUGAUGAGCAUGUCCUGCACUGAAACCUAGCCACUGAACACCUCUACCCCUGUCCUGCACUGAAGCCUCUGAACACCUCAAACCCUGACAUGCACUGAAGUCAAGCCUCUCGAAC